Molecule: ribosomal RNA, 253 nt
Filed under: uncultured bacterium
Lineage: Bacteria
Description: partial 16S ribosomal RNA
Rfam family: Bacterial small subunit ribosomal RNA
Source: RNAcentral
UACGUAGGGUGCGAGCGUUAAUCGGAAUUACUGGGCGUAAAGUGUGCGCAGGCGGCCGAGCAAGUCGAGUGUGAAAGCCCCGAGCUUAACUUGGGAACUGCGCUCGAAACUACUUGGCUAGAGUGUGGCAGAGGGAGGUGGAAUUCCACGUGUAGCGGUGAAAUGCGUAGAGAUGUGGAGGAACACCGAUGGCGAAGGCAGCCUCCUGGGCCAACACUGACGCUCAUGCACGGAAGCGUGGGGAGCAAACAGG